Molecule: ribosomal RNA, 406 nt
Filed under: uncultured bacterium
Lineage: Bacteria
Description: partial 16S ribosomal RNA
Rfam family: Bacterial small subunit ribosomal RNA
Source: RNAcentral
AUUGAACGCUGGCGGCAGGCCUAACACAUGCAAGUCGAACGAGGGGCGGACGGGUGAGUAAUGUAUGGGAACCUGCCCGAUAGAGGGGGAUAACUACUGGAAACGGUAGCUAAUACCGCAUACUAUCGGAUGUGCCCAUAUGGGAUUAGCUAGUAGGUGUGGUAACGGCUCACCUAGGCGACGAUCCCUAGCUGGUCUGAGAGGAUGAUCAGCCACACUGGAACUGAGACACGGUCCAGACUCCUACGGGAGGCAGCAGUGGGGAAUAUUGCACAAUGGGCGCAAGCCUGAUGCAGCCAUGCCGCGUGUAUGAAGAAGGCCUUCGGGUUGUAAAGUACUUUCAGCGGGGAGGCGUUACCCGCAGAAGAAGCACCGGCUAACUCCGUGCCAGCAGCCGCGGUAAUAC